RNAcentral lists this ribosomal RNA (352 nucleotides) under Eukaryota sp. Its description in RNAcentral is "SSU rRNA". It matches the Rfam family "Eukaryotic small subunit ribosomal RNA", at positions 1324 to 1699 of the family's 1831-position model. The record is from RNAcentral.
CGCGAUAACGAACGAGACCUUUACCUGCUAAAUAGACGCGCCCACCUCGGUGGGAGGCGUCUUCCUAGAGGGACUAUCUGUGUUUAACAGAUGGAAGUUAGAGGCAAUAACAGGUCUGUGAUGCCCUUAGAUGUCCUGGGCCGCACGCGCGCUACACUGAUAAAGUCAGCGAGUAUUCACCUUGACCGGAAGGUCUGGGAAAUCUUAUGAAACUUUACCGUGAUGGGGAUUGACCAUUGCAAUUAUUGGUCAUGAACGAGGAAUUCCUAGUAAGUGCGGGUCAUCAGCCCGCGUUGAUUACGUCCCUGCCUUUUGUACACACCGCCCGUCGAUAAUACCGAUUGAAUGGUUG